UCAAAAGAAGCGCACCAGGACUAGGGACCAGGGUGCCAUUUGGAAUGCACACAGGGACAACGUUCCUGUCGGUGUGUCCUGUGUUACAGAGACAGAGAGAUCCAGUUGUAUGAGCUGUCCUCUCUAGAGCCGUACUGUCAGAUCAGUUCCCUGGAGACAGUCCCUCUGAGACUGGACUACUGCUACACUGGACCUGAUGAGUGUUCUAUUUUGUAUGGAGACUCCCAGGGCUGCGUGAAUAUCAUAUUAAUUACCUCCGUGGGGGAGACUCUGAGGUAAACAUGUUUUUUUAUAUUAACUUUAUGCAUCUAUUGAACAACCACAGGAAUGCAUCAUCAUCUUAAAGGCACAUUGUUAAGUCAAUAAAAAAGUAUUAGGAAAAAAGGCUAAUGUAACUGAAAAUGGCUGUCUACUGUUUCCAUGGCGAUUUAUAGCUUAAUAGCCUAAUUUGAGGUUUUGGGUGAUAACAAAUCUACUAUUUCAGUUUUUUGAUUAUGUGCUACUAAGAGGGUGGUUUGCACACAAAUAGAAACAUUUCAAAGUAUUCCUUUUUUAAUUUGUAUAAUCUUUGCUGGUAAGUAAUUAUGGGAAUGUGAUGUCA
Salmo salar (Atlantic salmon) is the source of this 601-nucleotide non-coding RNA. The record is from RefSeq and is a predicted model, not a curated record. Lineage: Eukaryota; Metazoa; Chordata; Actinopteri; Salmoniformes; Salmonidae.